UUCCUGGUGGUUCAGUGGCUAGGACUCUGCCCUUCCAGUGCAGAGGGCCCAGGUUCUAUCCCUGGUCAGGGAA
Non-coding RNA from Bos taurus (domestic cattle), 73 nucleotides. The record is from Rfam. Lineage: Eukaryota; Metazoa; Chordata; Mammalia; Artiodactyla; Bovidae.